RNAcentral lists this ribosomal RNA (460 nucleotides) under uncultured bacterium. RNAcentral describes it as "partial 16S ribosomal RNA". It matches the Rfam family "Bacterial small subunit ribosomal RNA", at positions 338 to 795 of the family's 1533-position model. The record is from RNAcentral.
CCUACGGGAGGCAGCAGUGAGGAAUAUUGGUCAAUGGCCGGAAGGCUGAACCAGCCAUGCCGCGUGAAGGUCAGUGCCCUAUGGGCGUUAAACUUCUUUUGUGCGGGAGCAAUAAUGGUCACGUGUGGCCAGACGAGAGUACCGUACGAAUAAGCAUCGGCUCACUCCGUGCCAGCAGCCGCGGUAAUACGGGGGAUGCGAGCGUUAUCCGGAUUUAUUGGGUGUAAAGGGUGCGUAGGCUGUGAGGUAAGUCAGCGGGGAAAUGCCCCCGCGCAACGGGGUGAAGUGCCAUUGAUACUGCCUUGCUGGAAUGCGGAUGCCGUGGGAGGAAUGUGUGGUGUAGCGGUGAAAUGCAUAGAUAUCACACAGAACACCGAUUGCGAAGGCAUCUCACGAAUCCGCGAUUGACGCUGAUGCACGAAAGCGUGGGUAUCAAACAGGAUUAGAUACCCCUGUAGUC